RNAcentral lists this ribosomal RNA (370 nucleotides) under uncultured eukaryote. Its description in RNAcentral is "partial 18S ribosomal RNA". It matches the Rfam family "Eukaryotic small subunit ribosomal RNA", at positions 592 to 976 of the family's 1831-position model. The record is from RNAcentral.
CAAUAGCGUAUAUUAAAGUUGUUGCAGUUAAAAAGCUCGUAGUUGGAUUUCUGGUCGGAAGCUCCUGUCCUCUGAUGAGCGUACAAGUGCGUCCUACCAUCCUUCUGUUAACCUUUAAGGCUUUCGCGGCUUUCUAGGGGCUCAGAUAUUUCACCUUGAGAAAAUUAGAGUGUUUCAGGCAGGCUAGCGCCGGAAUACAUUAGCAUGGAAUAAUGGAAUAGGACUUUUGCCUCUUCUGUUGGUCAUGAGGCUCGAGUAAUGAUUAAUAGGGAUAGUUGGGGGCAUUAGUACUUAACUGUCAGAGGUGAAAUUCUCGGAUUUGUUAAAGACUAACUUAUGCGAAAGCAUUUGCCAAGGAUGUUUUCAUUAA